UCCGAUACGGUGUAGUGGCCAACAUGAUGCCCUCUCAUUGUAGAUGACAGGUUAGGCAUAGCCCCGAGUUCGAUCCUCGGUUUCGGAA
This 88-nucleotide transfer RNA is filed under the name Colletotrichum lupini. Its description in RNAcentral is "tRNA-Glu". Lineage: Eukaryota; Fungi; Ascomycota; Sordariomycetes; Glomerellales; Glomerellaceae. The record is from RNAcentral.